CUGUAGAUGCUUCCCAAAUUUCCUCUUUGGUGAAACAAGCAUUUGUGCAGGUUCCCCAUAAAAAUGACUGAUUUGGGUUUUACCAGGAGCUCUGGCACUUCUCCACUACAAGAAAGAAUUGCAUUUAUAGAGAGGUUUAUCAAGAUGGGAAUAGUGAAACAAACAUUUUUAAUGUCCAGCAGAAUCCUCUGUCUUCCCCCAAACAAGCCUCCCUGGGCAGGAAUUUCAGCCACUCUGGAAUGGAAGCCUCCUGGAAGGAAUCUGCUUCCCUGUGGGACUGCCCAGCUUUCAGCCCUGCUGCUGGGGGAAGAGUUCACCAUAGGACUGCUCAUGUAUCUGCUCUGGUUUGGAACUGAGUGUGCCAUCAAAUGUAGGACUGCUGGAGCCCGUGGGGCUGGAGCAGGUGCUGAUGUUGGCCAGGCUGGUGGGACCCCAGGAGGAGAACCCUGAGCCAAUUCCCUUGCUGUCCCACAGGCAGCAGUGAAGUGCCACCAUGAUUGCAAUGAGCCUGGUGGGCUGUAAAAUAAAGAUUAAUCCUUCCUCA
RNAcentral lists this long non-coding RNA (544 nucleotides) under Lonchura striata (white-rumped munia). RNAcentral describes it as "domestica (Bengalese finch) lncRNA (ENSLSDG00000017053.1)". Lineage: Eukaryota; Metazoa; Chordata; Aves; Passeriformes; Estrildidae. The record is from RNAcentral.